RNAcentral lists this ribosomal RNA (492 nucleotides) under uncultured bacterium. RNAcentral's name for it is "partial 16S ribosomal RNA". It matches the Rfam family "Bacterial small subunit ribosomal RNA", at positions 29 to 507 of the family's 1533-position model. The record is from RNAcentral.
AGUGAACGCUGGCGGUAGGCCUAACACAUGCAAGUCGAACGGCAGCACAGUAAGAGCUUGCUCUUACGGGUGGCGAGUGGCGGACGGGUGAGGAAUACAUCGGAAUCUACUUUUUCGUGGGGGAUAACGUAGGGAAACUUACGCUAAUACCGCAUACGACCUACGGGUGAAAGCAGGGGAUCUUCGGACCUUGCGCGAUUGAAUGAGCCGAUGUCGGAUUAGCUAGUUGGCGGGGUAAAGGCCCACCAAGGCGGCGAUCCGUAGCUGGUCUGAGAGGAUGAUCAGCCACACUGGAACUGAGACACGGUCCAGACUCCUACGGGAGGCAGCAGUGGGGAAUAUUGGACAAUGGGCGCAAGCCUGAUCCAGCCAUACCGCGUGGGUGAAGAAGGCCUUCGGGUUGUAAAGCCCUUUUGUUGGGAAAGAAAAGCAGCAGGUUAAUACCCCGCUGUUCUGACGGUACCCAAAGAAUAGGCACCGGCUAACUUCGUG